UACGUAGGGUGCGAGCGUUGUCCGGAAUUAUUGGGCGUAAAGAGCUCGUAGGCGGUGUGUCACGUCGGCCGUGAAAACCUGCAGCUUAACUGUGGGCGUGCGGUCGAUACGGGCAUCACUGGAGUUCGGCAGGGGAGACUGGAAUUCCUGGUGUAGCGGUGAAAUGCGCAGAUAUCAGGAGGAACACCGGUGGCGAAGGCGGGUCGCUGGGCCGGACCUGACGCUGAGGCGCGAAGGCGUGGGGAGCGAACGGG
This 254-nucleotide ribosomal RNA is filed under the name uncultured bacterium. RNAcentral describes it as "partial 16S ribosomal RNA". It matches the Rfam family "Bacterial small subunit ribosomal RNA", at positions 524 to 776 of the family's 1533-position model. The record is from RNAcentral.